AUUGGCAAUUGUUGAGUUGCCCAUCGUUGAGUUCCCGGCUGUGGCAUUGGUUGGGGGCUGCACACUGAUCUGAGCGAGAACUGGACUGGUCCACGCCAAGGCUGUGCCAGCAGCCACGGCACCCAAACACACUAGCUGCCGCAUAUUGACGGGUCUUUGAAGUCUUAACCACACCAUCCUGCAGUGGGUCGUAUAGCAUUGGGUUGCGCGCUGAAGGAUCUGCAUCCUCCUGGCUGACAGUCUGUAAAACAAGUUGGAUUUUUCUUUAGUUAGCUAGUUAAAAAAAGAAAAUGAUGGCUCUCUUUAUGAGUUUAUCAUUUCAUUUUCGUCAUUGAAACACAUUUGAAAAGAGUCUUUUGUGUUGUUUUUGCCAUAAAAGUUUUGUCCUUUACCUGCCACCAGCGCGCCAUGGCGCGUACGACUUUAUCCGAAUCCAUUUCGAGACUUUCCCGAUUUCCGGGUUGUUAUUUCUGACAAUGCCUCUGACUUAUGUAAGUCAAACAACACACACACAGAACGCACUUUUUGCCUUAAAAAACACUAGCUUAUGGUUUGUUUUGCGCUUAUUUAUAUCUCUUGUCAUUUAUUAUCUAAGCAUAGAUAUAUGUACAUAUAUUUUUAUAUUUGAAUAUA
This is a long non-coding RNA of Drosophila guanche, 633 nucleotides long. RefSeq lists it as uncharacterized. NCBI's taxonomy places the organism in Eukaryota, Metazoa, Arthropoda, Insecta, Diptera, Drosophilidae. The transcript is spliced from 2 exons. The record is from RefSeq and is a predicted model, not a curated record.